CGCCCCUGUCGUCUAGCCCGGUUAGGACAUCGCCCUUUCACGGCGGCGAGACGGGUUCAAAUCCCGUCGGGGGCGU
RNAcentral lists this transfer RNA (76 nucleotides) under Candidatus Aminicenantes bacterium ADurb.Bin508. RNAcentral's name for it is "tRNA-Glu". It matches the Rfam family "tRNA". From Rfam's summary of the family: Transfer RNA (tRNA) molecules are approximately 80 nucleotides in length. Their secondary structure includes four short double-helical elements and three loops (D, anti-codon, and T loops). Lineage: Bacteria; Candidatus Aminicenantota. The record is from RNAcentral.